UACGUAGGGCGCAAGCGUUGUCCGGAAUUAUUGGGCGUAAAGGGCUCGUAGGCGGUUUGUCGCGCCGGGAGUGAAAACCAGGUGCUUAACACCUGGCUUGCUUUCGAUACGGGCAGACUAGAGGUAUUCAGGGGAGAACGGAAUUCCUGGUGUAGCGGUGAAAUGCGCAGAUAUCAGGAGGAACACCGGUGGCGAAGGCGGUUCUCUGGGAAUGACCUGACGCUGAGGAGCGAAAGUGUGGGGAGCGAACAGG
RNAcentral lists this ribosomal RNA (253 nucleotides) under uncultured bacterium. RNAcentral's name for it is "partial 16S ribosomal RNA". It matches the Rfam family "Bacterial small subunit ribosomal RNA", at positions 524 to 776 of the family's 1533-position model. The record is from RNAcentral.